UCCCUAGAGGACUAGUGGUUAGGCCUCAACUCUCUUACCACCGCAGCCUGGGUUCAAUUCCCGGCCAGGGAA
RNAcentral lists this transfer RNA (72 nucleotides) under Pangasianodon gigas (Mekong giant catfish). RNAcentral's name for it is "tRNA-OTHER". The record is from RNAcentral. Lineage: Eukaryota; Metazoa; Chordata; Actinopteri; Siluriformes; Pangasiidae.